AGAGUUUGAUCAUGGCUCAGAUUGAACGCUGGCGGCAUGCCUUACACAUGCAAGUCGAACGGCAGCACGGGAGCAAUCCUGGUGGCGAGUGGCGAACGGGUGAGUAAUAUAUCGGAACGUGCCCAGUCGUGGGGGAUAACGUAGCGAAAGCUACGCUAAUACCGCAUACGAUCUACGGAUGAAAGCGGGGGACUCGUAAGGGCCUCGCGCGAUUGGAGCGGCCGAUAUCAGAUUAGGUUGUUGGUGAGGUAAAAGCUCACCAAGCCUGCGAUCUGUAGCUGGUCUGAGAGGACGACCAGCCACACUGGAACUGAGACACGGUCCAGACUCCUACGGGAGGCAGCAGUGGGGAAUUUUGGACAAUGGACGCAAGUCUGAUCCAGCAAUGCCGCGUGCAGGACGAAGGCCUUCGGGUUGUAAACUGCUUUUGAACGGAACGAAACGGUCUGCUUUAAUACAGCGGGCUAAUGACGGUACCGUAAGAAUAGCC
This 490-nucleotide ribosomal RNA is filed under the name uncultured Rhodoferax sp. RNAcentral's name for it is "bacterial SSU rRNA". It matches the Rfam family "Bacterial small subunit ribosomal RNA", at positions 8 to 492 of the family's 1533-position model. Lineage: Bacteria; Pseudomonadati; Pseudomonadota; Betaproteobacteria; Burkholderiales; Comamonadaceae. The record is from RNAcentral.